GAAGCCUGGUGGGCUGCCGUCUCUGGGGUCGCACAGAGUCGGACACGACUGAAGCGACUUAGCAGCAGCAGUAGCAGCAGUAAGAGAAAAUAGAAAUUAUUAACUUUUUUUUGUCAUCAUAUUCUGCAUAAGUGGUCGCCUAAAAUGGAGAACUAAUAGGAGUAAGAAAGGAUAUGAUAGUGCUCUUUGGUUGUUCAUGUUUCAUAGAACACCAUCACCUUCUGAGUGCCAAGCAAACUGUGGCCUCUUGAGCGCCCUCUUCUCCAAAUAAAAAUUGUUAGAGUAGUCUUUGUGCUCUGUGGCUGGGGAAGAGACUUUUAUUUUUCUGAGGAUCCUUGCUAGUCCUUUUUGGUAGAUAAUUGUCAGAAGGACCCCAGGUUGUAACCAGUUAGUUAAGGAAAUUGAUAUUAACCUUUUGCAUAGAAUUAAAUUGUUUAAUAGGAAUUGAAGAACCAGAAUACAAGUCCUGUUUUCUGGGACAUGAGCAUAGUUUCAUGAGUGUGGAAUAUGUUUGUCAAAUUAAAAUUUCUCUCUACAUGAAGUUAAUUAAUCCAUUAUAAUUUGAACCUGAUUUUAAUGAAAACCAAACAAAAUUGAACAUCAAUGAGUAAGUAAAUCUCUGUGCCAGAGAUUCGGAGACUUUUUGGGUCAUGGUGUCAUACAAACUUGUCAUACAAAAACAUACAAGUUUGUCAUACAAACUUGAAGUUAGACGUGGUAUUAGAGGCUGUGACUUGGUAAUUCAACUGUUUUGACUUUAUCACCAGUGUGUGCUGGUUCAUACACAGGGGCAGCAACAGUGUUCUAAUAAAUUUCCAGCUGUGGUGAUGCUGUAAUUGGUAUUGGUAGUGGCUGAGGUCUGGGAUUGUCUAUCUGAGCAGGACCUGUGCAGACAUCAUUCUCCAUGCUAAUAUUUGUUCUGUCCAUUUGUGGCACCUUGCGUGAAUAUUGGUGUGAUCCAUCUAGUUCAGGUACUUCUCCUUAAUAGUACUGUGUUCACAUUGUAUUCUGCAUAUAUAUUAUACCUAGGAGUUACACAGCUAAUGUUUUGAAGAGGUUCUCUGGGGAGGGAGUGGCACCAUGCAGUGGUGCUUAUGGGCUCUCAGUUCCCUAACUAGGGUUUGAACCUGGUCCAUGACAGUGAAAACCCAGUGAAAAUCCUAACCACGGGCCAUCAGGGAACUCCCUUAAAGAGGUUUUUAUUUUUUUUUAAAGAGGUUUUUAAACUCAGAAUUUCAUAAGAAAAAUAGAAUUCACUGAGGGAAAAUAAAUCGGUUAUCUAAAAAUAAUGCAUAACUCUUGACUAUAGUUAUGUGGCAUGAUGAAUAAAAUGCUAAAAGAUGUAAUGCCAGGUCUUGGUGUCCAAAAGUCUGGAUUGUGUUGUAUAAAAUACUCUCUAAAAAAUGUUUUUUAAAAGCUUUGUAAUUUUACGUUAUAAAAUAAUUCCAUAUGUUCUUUUUCUCAUAGAAAUCAUAUAUCUAUGGGUGCUUCUUACUUCUAACUAUCAAAUAUCCAUCCAUCUGCACUGGUCAGUUAAAUUGCUUCUCAUAACAGAUUGAUCUUGACAAAUUUGUUGUUUGUUUUUUUUUUUAUCAUUGGAUGUUAAUUGUACUGGCACAGUGGUAUAUAAAUCUAGGGAAGAAACAAAUCAGUGAUAUAGGAGAGUUAGUGGGUCUUCCCCAAAGCUUUCAUUUAGUUAAAUAAAUAAAUGUAUGUGAUGCACUUAGCACUGUGCCUGGCACAGAGGAUGUGGGCAGCAAGUGUUUUUAAAAUAAAUAAAAAUUUAGAUUCUUGUAAGCAUUAGUAGUAAUUAUAUUAGGGACUCUAAUCAGUCUUCUAUCUUUUAGAUUUGAAAGAAGCAGGAAAUAGGGCGUCGGACCUAAAAGGAAACAGGAAGUCUACCCAUGUUUUUAUUUCACAUUCCACUUGAAGUAUCUGCGAAACACAGGAAUACGGGGGAUGGAGCAUUCUGUGUCUGGAUGCCUGGAAUGUCUUGAAUUGAUUCAUUAAUAUCAGGAACAUUAUGUUUUUUUUUUGUCAAGGAGAUAAGUUUUCUUUCCUUUCCCAUUCAUUAGUCAAAGGAACAAAGUAUUCUUAAAUCCUCAUGCAAGCAGGUAUGUGAUUCAAAAAACAAAUCAUUUAGAUCAAACAGGAUGUGGAAAGAACUCAAAAAGAUAUGUAAGUAAUAACCUAAUUGUAUUAUAAAUGAGUAAUAUAUAAUCAUAGUGAGGGAGGUUAGAGAGGAAAAGAAUAAGCUUAAGUUACUUUGAAAAACCAUAAAGUUAAAGACAAAAAAUAUUAUACCCAGAUACUGUAUUGUUGGGUUUUUUCUACUUUAAUAUAUACUUGUAUUGGACAAAUAAGUAGAAAUAUUAUCAGUAAAUCAGACAUAAUAAAGCUCUACCUGGGUGGACAUGUGAUACUUUAUAUAUAACUUCUCUUGUAUCUGUACUGGAAUACACUUACAAGUGUCUUUGCACUGCCCCUGUAUCAUUUUAGGAUGGCUUAAAUUAAAGCUUUUGGAAAAACCGUGCUUUGAUAUGGUAUCUGCACAGCAGGAGAGUAAUCUUCCCAGUAUAAGAUAUUAAAAGACAUCUUUUUGGUGUUGGUUCUCAUAAAUCUUGGUGUCCUUCCAAUAUGUUACUGAUUUUACAGUUUAUAGCACUGUUUGGUGUGAGAGUCAUUGUAGAUACUGAAUUCUGAGUUUACUUCAUUUUCUGGUUUAUCCUUGUUUACAUAGGCUGUUUUCAGUUUGACUUGAAGUCUUAGGUUGAGGCUGAGGGUAUCAUAUGUUUGCAAACAGAAUAGUAUUGUAGGGAAGAAAAGGCCAUUUUCUCUACCUUUUGUGUCUUGACUAGGGCUCUGUUAAAAAAGACUGAUUAACAGCAGAAAGGCAUACACAUUUAUUAUUUUUAAAAAUUAAAACAAUUUUUUGGUGUUGUACACGACAUAGGAGCUUUCACCAGGAAAUGAGGCCCUAAGAAGCAGAUAAGCCUGGGCAUUCUUUUUUUUCAAAGAUGUCUUCUAGGUGUUUUUUUUUAAUUUUAAUUUUUAAAAAUUAUUGAAAUAUAACAUAUUUACAGGAGACUGGGAAGAUAAGGAACAAAGUUACAUAUAGUUUCACUAUAUAUUACAAUUUUUUUAAAGUAGAUAAAUUAAGAUUUUUAGUUGGAGUUUCAGUAUCAAAUUCUCAAAAAUUAAUAGAAUGAAUAUAUAGAGAAGUAGAAGAGCUUGAGCAGCCUUACACUAGGUUUGAUGAAGCGUGGGGAAUUGUGAGAAAUGUGAUAGGACAAUGGGAUACGAGCUAUGAAGGUAGUAAACUAGGGGGAAACAGAGUAAGACCUCUGGCUUUGAGUCAAGGAUGCUCUUUUUUCCUCCAGGUAUAGGGGUGACACCUCUCAUCUAGAGGUUUUUUGACCUGCUUCAGAAGAGAUGGGGGAGAUCAGAAAGCCCUUCCUGCAUCUGUUGUUAGUCAGAUUCCUUCAGCUUAAUAUAUUCAAUAUACAAAGGUACCAUAUUUUAGAGUGGUGUUUUGAACCCCAUCAGUAUCACAAAUACUCUUUAUAUUUAUGAUCAAGAACUUAGAACUAUACUCUUUUCACUUUGGAGUACACGUCCAGAGAUCAAUCAUUAGAGUAUAGCUAUUAUUCUAUAAUUUAUAUAUUACUAACUUAAUGUUAUAUAUACUAAAAUUGUCCUAUGAUAUAUUUCUGUCUACUAUCUUUGUCUUUAGAUGAAGUUUGUCAGAGCCUGCCUGGGUGUACAAAUGAUAGUUUUCUGAAUAUUCUCCAUAGGGGCCAAUGUAUUUUACAUGCUAAAAUUUUUUUUCAGUGUCUGUGGAAAUGAACUACAGCAUACUGCAGGCUCCCGCAUUACUUAUUAACCUCAUUUUAAAAUGGAUAAUUUACAACAGUGCUACUGUCCUAUUGGCUUUGUGCCAAAUGGAAUGGAUUUUCUGCCCUUAUUUUAAGUCUUAUAAAGAAAAUAUCCGUUAUAUUUCUGAGGAGCUUUGCCAAGAUCAACAAUUAUCACUUUGAAUUUUAGUAGUAUUUUAUAGUAUUCAAAGUGUUCUCGCAUAUUUCCUCAUUUGCUAGAGGUUAUAUCAGUACUUUUUCUAUGGUGGGAAUAUUAGUCCAGUCUGUCAUCACUUAUUAAGGUAUGUUUUGUCAUAAUUUGAAGAUGUAACUUGUAUGUGUCACCAAUAAUUCUCAA
This is a long non-coding RNA of Bubalus bubalis (water buffalo), 4212 nucleotides long. RefSeq lists it as uncharacterized. The record is from RefSeq and is a predicted model, not a curated record. NCBI's taxonomy places the organism in Eukaryota, Metazoa, Chordata, Mammalia, Artiodactyla, Bovidae. The transcript has 2 exons.